RNAcentral lists this ribosomal RNA (405 nucleotides) under Triticum aestivum (bread wheat). RNAcentral's name for it is "partial small subunit ribosomal RNA". Lineage: Eukaryota; Viridiplantae; Streptophyta; Magnoliopsida; Poales; Poaceae. The record is from RNAcentral.
AUGGUGUUCGGCCGCACGCCGUUCAAGGGCAAGAACUGCAAGGAGACGUUCUGGAAUGUGCUGCACAGGGAGGUCGAGUUCCCGGGCGACACCCAGCGCCGGAUGCCGGAGCUGACCGACCUCAUCUCGCAGCUGCUGCAGCGGGAUCCCGCGAGGCGGCUCGGGUACGCCGGCGGCACUGACAAGAUCCGGGUGCAGCCGUUCUACGCCGGGAUGGCAUGGGACAUGCUCGCGGAUGUGACCCACCCGCCCUACAUCCCGCCGCCAGCGGAGGACAACGCAGCCGACGGCGAGGGCUUCGACGUGAGGGACUACUUCAAGAAGCUCCACCAGUCGCCGGCACCGCCGCCUCCAGAGUCGGGCUCGUCGUCCUCGUCGUCGUCGGACUUCUCGUCGGUGUUCUGA